This 675-nucleotide long non-coding RNA is filed under the name Linum usitatissimum (flax). Its description in RNAcentral is "long non-coding RNA (LUSI_LNC003137)". The record is from RNAcentral. Lineage: Eukaryota; Viridiplantae; Streptophyta; Magnoliopsida; Malpighiales; Linaceae.
UCCAACCAUUAUAUAUAUACUUCAAAAUUGCACAAAAGUACCAUUGACAAUCUAAACUCUUUUUGCUUGAAAGAAAGAAGAACAACCAGGAAGAUGGCAAAAUUCUCACUUCUCCAUCUCUUCACUCUUGCACUGUUUUUCUCUGGUAUAUGUUUCAUUCAUCAAUAUAUUUGUGUUUUGAGUUACUCCAAUCCGGUGGUAAAUUUAUAUGUCUGGUGAUCUGGGGUCUCGGAUUCGAAUUUAAAAUACCCUACAACAAUUUAGUGUUUAUUUUAUAAUCUUUAUAUUUUGGAGAAUUUGGUCUAUUUCGAUAAAAAAAAAUAUUCAUGUUUUUCUUCCUCGAAUAAAGAUUAACCUUUUGUAUUUUUAUAUGGUUUGAUCGCCGGGUGCAGGAAUGGUAUUUGUUAAGGAAGUUGAAGGAAAGGAUUGCGUAAAGUUUAUGUAUCUAACGGGAUGCAUGGAGCCGAAGUGCCAAACAUUAUGUACGCAGUGGUUCCCUAAUAGUAUAGCCGAAUGCAUCCUCGUGAAGAAAUCCGGCGAUUCUGCUUGUGGAUGUCAUACCAAUUAUUGUUAAUCAGUCUCUCUACCCAACACUCCAUUUCGAUUUCGUGUAUGAUUCGAUCAAUGGCUAAUAAAAAAAAAUAGUAUGCGGUUUCUCAUACAUGUCUGUUCAUC